RNAcentral lists this ribosomal RNA (433 nucleotides) under uncultured bacterium. Its description in RNAcentral is "partial 16S ribosomal RNA". It matches the Rfam family "Bacterial small subunit ribosomal RNA", at positions 29 to 507 of the family's 1533-position model. The record is from RNAcentral.
AACGAACGCUGGCGGCAUGCCUAACACAUGCAAGUCGAGCGAGGACUUCGGUUCUAGCGGCGGACGUGUGAUUAACGCGUGGGAAUGUGCCCUUCUCUACGGAAUAGCCCUGUUAAACUUGGAUUAAUACCGUAUACGCUCUUUUGGGGAAAGAUUUAUCGGAGCAUGAUCAGCCCGCGUUGGAUUAGGUAGUUGGUGGUGUAAUGGCCUGCCAAGCACACGAUCCAUAGCUGGUUUGAGAGGAUGAUCAGCCACACUGGGACUGCGACACGGACCAGACUCGUACGGGAGGGAGCAGUGGGGAAUCUUAGACAAUGGAGGCAAAUGUAAUAAAGCCAUGUCGGGUGAGUGAUGAAGGCCUUAGGGUUGUAAAGCUCUUUGAGCUGGGAAGAUAGUGACGGUACCAGCAGAAGAAGCCCCGGCUAACUCCGUG